UUGAAUGAAUGUAGAGUUGGUUGUGCUGGCCCCUUGGGGCAUGUGCACGCCUUCUCUUUCAUCCACACACACCUGUGCACUUGUGAGACGGAAGCCUUUCGGGGAGUCCGUCUGCUCCACAUAAACUCAUAUAUUUAAAACGAAUGUAAUUGAUGUAACACAUCUUUAAAC
This 171-nucleotide unclassified non-coding RNA is filed under the name uncultured Ceratobasidiaceae. RNAcentral describes it as "sequence contains ITS1". Lineage: Eukaryota; Fungi; Basidiomycota; Agaricomycetes; Cantharellales; Ceratobasidiaceae. The record is from RNAcentral.